CGCGGGAUGGAGCAGUUGGUCAGCUCGCCAGGUUCAUACCCUGGAGGUCGAUGGUUCGAGUCCGUCUCCCGCUAC
RNAcentral lists this transfer RNA (75 nucleotides) under Aureliella helgolandensis. RNAcentral describes it as "Planctomycetes bacterium Q31a tRNA-Met". It matches the Rfam family "tRNA". From Rfam's summary of the family: Transfer RNA (tRNA) molecules are approximately 80 nucleotides in length. Their secondary structure includes four short double-helical elements and three loops (D, anti-codon, and T loops). The record is from RNAcentral. Lineage: Bacteria; Pseudomonadati; Planctomycetota; Planctomycetia; Pirellulales; Pirellulaceae.